RNAcentral lists this long non-coding RNA (538 nucleotides) under Anolis carolinensis (green anole). Its description in RNAcentral is "lncRNA (ENSACAG00000040620.1)". The record is from RNAcentral. Lineage: Eukaryota; Metazoa; Chordata; Lepidosauria; Squamata; Anolidae.
CAUGUUUCUUCACAUCAAGUAGCACAAAAAUGCCAACACGUAUUUACAGUGUGGAACAUCGAACAUUGAGCAUGGCAUAGGAGGCUUGCUGAAAAUGGGUUUAGUUCCUAUAUAACAGAGUGGCUUUAGCAUGGCUCUAAACGGCUCCUUCAUCAUGCUGAGUUAUUUACAGACUUACUUUCUUUGGGCCACUGACUGACAGAUGGGAUAAGAUAAUGAGUACAACUUGAGAAAUGUUACCUUUUUUAGACUAGACUCAUAACUGCUGCUGAUGGGUUAAAAGGUUUAAAAAUAUAAGCACAAAUGAAAGUGCACCCUAGGGUGCAUCUAUAUCUAGGUAUUCUAGCAAGACUCUAUGUCAAUGUCUGCUAGAAGUUGAUCAUAAAGUCACACUGAAUGGAAUGAAAAUUGUCUCAAGGUCAGAAAGGAGGAGGAAGAACAACACUCAUUCCUUCAUAGUCUUCAGCAUGCGGGAUUGGUAAGCAUUUCCCCCUUUUUCUUUGGUACCUGUUUAAAAGCAAAUUAGCUUGUUGAAGUU